Molecule: unclassified non-coding RNA, 21 nt
Filed under: Mus musculus (house mouse)
Lineage: Eukaryota; Metazoa; Chordata; Mammalia; Rodentia; Muridae
Description: oocyte_clustered_small_RNA13898
Source: RNAcentral
UUGUGGCCGCCUGAGAUUGGA